Long non-coding RNA from Limulus polyphemus (Atlantic horseshoe crab), 969 nucleotides. RefSeq lists it as uncharacterized. The record is from RefSeq and is a predicted model, not a curated record. The transcript has 2 exons. Lineage: Eukaryota; Metazoa; Arthropoda; Merostomata; Xiphosura; Limulidae.
UGAACUUCCAAAAGGUGAGGCUACUUUGGUAGCUCUUGUUUAUUUAAGGAUAUGUAUCACCUUCCAAUCAAACUUACAAAUAUCUCCUUUCACGUAAGAGUGAUUUACAAAUCAUUCUUCAACUAAUCUUCAAACCAAAUUUGGAAAAAUUCUAUAUUUUCUUCCAUACAAGGUUAGCUCAUUCCCCACAUCAUUUUCCAAUCAAACUUCUAAAUAUUCUAAAUUCCAUUAAUAAUUAGAUUAUCUAUGAGAUACUCCAAGUUGCUAUAUUCUUUCCAAAAUAUUAAAUUCUGGUGAUUUUUCAAGAUACAUUAGAUCUCAGAAUGUGGCUUAAGCUCUGUUAUAAUAACAAAUAGCAAAUUUGUUUCUAAUUAUAUUAUCCUAAAAAUUUUUUUUAAGUCUUAUUAUGAAAAUUUAAUUACCUUCUCUAUUGCUAUAAAUAUAUAUAUAUAUUAGGUCUGAAAACGAGUAAGUAACAGUAUGUACAUGGAUAAACUCCAAUAAUGACAUUUUUAAAUGUUUAGAUAGGUUCUUCUUUCACUCUUUUAAAAAGAAUCUACUGUCUUUUACUGGUUCACGUCUAUAUAAAGUUAUAUAAUUCCUUUCAUUCUAGCACUUUUAUCUACCGUUAUGGCCCCUCCAGUUAAGGCAACCUCGGGCAAGGCCUGAUAAUAUACUGUACGUGUUAUUAUUCAUUGUUGAAGAAGUACAACAAUAUGUUGACCAACAUUCUGCUUUAUGUUAGUAUUUAAAAACAAGUAUAAAAAUUUGUAUAGGCUGACCUUUUGGACAAGAUUAAGUUCCAACGUACGUGAAGACUUGGUUAGCUAUGGCAAACAAGCCAGUUGGAGAAAUGUCUCUAAUAACGUCACAAUGGCAAAUGAAGGAAGGGAGAACAUUGCUUUCAGUUCAGAAACUGUCAAGGACGAUACACGGGCUAAUGUGAAAAUGCACAAAGAAGACAACCAC